This 72-nucleotide transfer RNA is filed under the name marine eukaryotic metagenome. It matches the Rfam family "tRNA". From Rfam's summary of the family: Transfer RNA (tRNA) molecules are approximately 80 nucleotides in length. Their secondary structure includes four short double-helical elements and three loops (D, anti-codon, and T loops). Further hydrogen bonds mediate the characteristic L-shaped molecular structure. tRNAs have two regions of fundamental functional importance: the anti-codon, which is responsible for specific mRNA codon recognition, and the 3' end, to which the tRNAs corresponding amino acid is attached (by aminoacyl-tRNA synthetases). tRNAs cope with the degeneracy of the genetic code in two manners: having more than one tRNA (with a specific anti-codon) for a particular amino acid; and 'wobble' base-pairing, i.e. permitting non-standard base-pairing at the 3rd anti-codon position. The record is from RNAcentral.
GUGAGGUAGCUCAGGUGGUUAGAGCGGCGGACUCAUAACCCGCAGGUCGGUGGUUCAAUUCCACCCCUCACC